AGUAGAUGAGAUCAAUGACUCCUUCCUUCGUGAGAUCCCUUGAGAAGUGAAACUUCACAUCUAUAUGUUUGCUUCUUCCAUGUAAAACAGGAUUUUUGGAGAGCUUUAUUGCUGAACUAUUGUCACAAUAAAUUGCAGUAGGUCCUUGACUCUUGAAAUGAAGUUCUUCAAGAAUUUUCCUCAACCAAAUAGCUUGACAAGCACAUGAAGUUGCAGCAACAAAUUCAGCUUCAGUGGUUGAUAAAGUGACAAUUGGCUGCUUCUUUGAUGACCAUGAAAUAGCUCCUGAACCCAACAUAAAUACAUAUCCGGAAGUGCUCUUUCUAUCAUCUUGAUCUCCAGCAUAAUCACUAUCAGUGAAGCCCAUCAAGCUUGAGUUUUCUCCCUUCUUGUAGAGCAGUCCAAAACCAGUCGUACCUUGCAAGCCUUCUUCUAACACGUCGAGGUCGUUGUUCAUCUACUGUUUCAGAGGCUGAAAUGCAUUCAUUGAUUGUUGGUUGUUGCUCAUUUUCUACGGAUUGUGCAUUCUCCAAAGGCUGCUGCAUUUUUUCUCCAUUUUCUCCAUCAAAAUCAGCUUGUAUUUGUUGUUCAACAUUGUUUUCAUCCCAAAUCCAGAACCGCUCUUCAUCAAAAAUCACGUCACGACUGAUGACAGUUUUCUUGGUGAUAGGAUUGUACAAUUUGUACGCUUUUGACUGCUCACUAACACCAAGAAAAAUGCAUUUUUCACUUUUGUCAUCAAGCUUGCUCCUCUUCUGAUCUGGAAUGUGGGCAAAUGCUAUGCAACCGAAGAUUCUGAAAUGCUCGACACUUGGUCUGCGUCCACUCCAAGCUUCUUCAGGCGUCAGGUUUUGAACAGCAAGUGUGGGGCUUCUGUUCAAUACAUGAAUGCUCCAAUUGACA
This is a long non-coding RNA of Syzygium oleosum, 903 nucleotides long. RefSeq lists it as uncharacterized. The record is from RefSeq and is a predicted model, not a curated record. The transcript is spliced from 2 exons. NCBI's taxonomy places the organism in Eukaryota, Viridiplantae, Streptophyta, Magnoliopsida, Myrtales, Myrtaceae.